Molecule: long non-coding RNA, 3917 nt
Filed under: Octopus vulgaris (common octopus)
Lineage: Eukaryota; Metazoa; Mollusca; Cephalopoda; Octopoda; Octopodidae
Source: RNAcentral
CUACAGUUCAGGCGGUGUAUUAUUAAAAGAGUUCCCAGUAGGAUUAAGUCGUUUAACCUUCGCCUUCCAAUGGUGUCUUCGACUCUAUAACAACGCACAUGUUACAUAAAUGCAACGUCAAGACGUAAAUAACAUAAGUUAGGAGUGAUAGAAAAAAAGAGAGAGAGAGAGAGAUGGCUUCGAGUUACAGACGUUUUCUAACCCUCUGUAAAAACUGGCCCAUAGACACCAGCAAAGCAGCUGAUAAGGACCUCGCCGUCUUCAUACGCGAGAAUAUAGCUAAAACCUUUAGGCAUGCUGACGCUACACGAAUUGAAGAACCGGCAAAAUGUGAGAAUAUUUAUGAGAGUCUUCAGAGGAUAUCUGCAGACUACCAUCUGAACAAAUACCAGUUGGAUAAGCCUUAUAUAACAGCUUCCUGCAAGGCCACUCGAGAUGAAUGUCAAGCGGUACUAUCCAAGGAAGGCAGCGAUGUCAUCUACGAAAAUGAUACCCAUAUCCUUGAAAAAGUGAAAUCGAAAUUCUGAACAAGGAAACCAAAGGAGACUGUAUGAUCCUAGUAUUCAUUAUAAGGAGACAGAUUAAGGACUUCGUGAGUGUUGUGUUUUUGUGUAUAUUUGCUUCCUAAAACGUACUUUUGCUGUCCUGUACCAGUUGUCGUAUUGUGUUUGCUUACAUAACGUUCCUAUAUUUGCAUUACAUUCCUGUCUUCUACAUACUUGCUUAGCUUGAAAGAAAUAGUAGCCAAUAGCCCUACCUCAAAUCACGAAUUAUCGUCUCAAACAACAAUGAAUGGGAAAAUUUGGUCAAUAAGGUCGGUAAGAAGACCAUGUGGUCUUGGGUUCAAUCCUACUGCACGACAAAGUCUUGUGAGUCGAUUUGGCAGGCGGAAACUGAAAGAAGCUCGUAAUAUAUAUACUGAACAAGGCGGCAAGCAAGCAGGAUCGUUGGAUCUUUUCCUUUUGAACGGCACUUUGUAACAUAAUUUCUAGGUAACUAAAAAGUUUUAAACUUCGUAUACUGGUAGAAUGUGUUUUAAAACAUCAUUUUCUCUUGGCUUUAUUGAGAAAAUUCUAUAGUUUGUAAGAUAUUUCGUCUGAAAUUUCUUGCAUUUCGGCAAUUUUAACCAAUCAAUUACCUUCAUUGACGUAAAUAACAUUCUGUGCAUAAUGAAUAUGUCCCUCCUUUAAGAAACAGAUUAGGUUUAUUUACAUUUGUGAAGAAAAAAAGAUACCCUUCCCCAACCCCUAACACUAACUAACCCUAACUCUAACCCUAAAAUCUAAAAUAGAUUGAAAUGCAAUAGAUCGAUACUAGGGCCAUAAUUAUGGGUGACAUUUUCAUUUGACACCGCUAGAAAAAAAUCCCAUUUUCCGUAGCAGUGUCAUAUGAAAUUGUCACCCAUAAUUAUAACGCUGGUAUCGAUCUAUUGCAUUUUUAGAUUUUAGGGUUAGAGUUAGUGUUAGUUAGGGUUGGUUAGGGGUUGGGGAAGGGUAUCUUUUUUCUUCACAAAUGUAAAUAAACCCAAUCUGUUUCUUAAAGGAGGGACAUAUUCAUUAUGCACAGAAUGUUAUUUACGUCAAUGGAGGUAAUUGAUUGGUUAAAAUUGCCGAAAUGCAAGAAAUUUCCAACGAAAUAUCUUACAAAGGACAGAGCAUCAUGGUAUGGGGCAGCAAGCUGGCAGAAACAUUAGCUACUAACCCCAAAAUUCCGAGUUUGAUUCCAAGCAGUGACCUGAACAAUAAUAAUAAUAACAUUGAAAAAUACUUUAGGAAUGAGAACCCAGGUUCAAAAUUUCCCCACGACUCCUGAAGAAGGCUGGAGGGUUUAUCAGCUGAAAUGUUGUUAACAACAAACAAGAUGAGGACAAAAAUUUCCGUCUAAUGUAAAUAAUGUAAAUAGUGUACAUAAUUCCUCAUCUCUUAAAUAUAGAACUGCUUUGACUUGUAUACCGGAAAAUUGUAUAACCCUUUAGCAUUUAAACCAGCCAUAUCUGGUUCUAUUUGUUUUAUGUUCAAAUCAGCUAGAUUUCAGAAUGGCAUUCUAAAAAUAAACAAUCCCAUCAUUGAAAUCUUCAAGCUACAAAAUAAUGCUUGGUUAAUUGAAAACAAUGUGAAUUAAUGAGUAUUACAUUGUGAAACUGCAUGGUUCAGUGGUUAGAGCGUUGGGUUCACUAUCAUGAGGUAGUGAGUUCAAUUCCUGGACCAGGCUGUGUGUUGAGUUCUUGAGCAAGUCCAGAAGCUGGCUACCCGCAUGGUUCUUGGUCUCAAGAAUUUGUCUUAUGAAGAAAGGCUGAAGACGCUCGACCUUUAUUCUCUAGAAAAACGCCGCCGCCGUGGUGAUCUCAUUCUUGCUCACAACAUCAUAAGUGGAAAGUGUAACCUCUCGAAAGAGCUGUUCUUCACUCCUGCUCCAGAGCGUCGGCUGCGGGGUCAUUCCGUAAAGCUCUAUCUGCGACGAUUUCAUCUCAAUCGAAGGAGAGGGGCUUUCUUCGUCCAGGUUGCAGAUCCGUGGAAUAAGCUGCCGGACGAGAUGGUGAAGAUGCCGACGACCGCUCGGUUCAAAGUCUCCCUUGACCACAACUCUUUAUAUGAACACCACCCUGUACAUAACUCCAUGUCCCCCUACAUGGCUUUGCUUUUUGAGCCAAAAAAUUAACUAACUAACUUUAUUUCAUGUUACUCCAGUUCAUUCAGCUAUGGAAAUGAGUUGUGACAUUACUGGUGCCAAGCUGUAUCGGCCCCUUUGCCUUUCCCUUGGAUAACAUCGGUAUCAUGGAGAAGAGAGGCUGGUAUGCAUGGACAACUGCUGGUCUUCCAUAAACAACCUUGCCUAUAUUUGUGCCUUGGAGGAGAACUUUCUAGGUGCAAUCCCAUGGUCACUCAUGACUGAACAGGGGUCUUUAUCCCUUUUUACAUUUGGCAGAGUAAACUGAAUGCUAAAGGUUAUAAGGGUUCCACAACAAAAUAAUUUGGGAACAGUUGCCCGAGAAAAUGGGUAUUAGUUGUUUCUUUAUUCUUUUAUUCUUUUACUUGUUUCAGUCAUUUGACUGCAGCCAUGCUGGAGCACUGCCUUUCAAUUGAAUGAAUCAACGCCAAGACUUAUUUUUAAAGCCUAGUACUUAUUCUAUCUGUCUCUUUUGCUGAACUGCUAAGUUGCAGGAACGUAAACACACCAACACUGGUUGUCAAGCAGUGAUAGGGGACAAACACAAAGACACACACACGCACAUAGAUAUAUACAUAUAUAUGUAUGAUGGGCUUCUUUCAGUUUCCAUCUACCAAAUCCACUCAAGGCUUUACUUGGCCCAAGGUUAUAGUAGAAGACGCUUUCCCAAGGGGGCCACACAGUAGGAAUGAACUUGGAAUCAUGUGAUUAGGAAGCUAGCUUCUUAUCACACAGCCAACCAUAAAUAUUUUGUUACAUAGUUCUGUGUUACAAGUUCAAAUCUGCUCUGUAAAUUUGACCAAGUUCUUUUUUUUUUUUUUUUUUUUCACAUUUCAGAAGAUUCAACUGGUUGUCGGAACUAUGCCCUUGCAAGAGAAGUCAUUCAUAUGCGUAGUGAGAACACCCUGAUGCACAGAUGUCGUUUCCAACAUUAUGACCACAAAGAAAAUCAUGGAAGACCGUGAAGUGAAAAUCCUUACCUAAGGCCUUCGUCCCUUGAAGUUUUUUUCUUUCUAAACUUAUUUAUUGGCUUUAGUUUGUAUCAAACAAUUAAAUUUUUAUGCCAGAAACCUCAUGAACUAUCCAUGCUUUUUCUAUAUAGAAGCUCCUUCAUUAUGCUCAAAUUUGAUACGUAGAUACUGACGGUAUCAGGACGUGUAUAAGUCUAGAAAAAAUUACAAAAAUCAAUUCCAGGUGAGAAUGCGAUCGAUAAAGUGAAUAAAAUCGUUUUUCUUUGGAACAGAUAAAAA